Molecule: transfer RNA, 89 nt
Filed under: Streptomyces rubiginosohelvolus
Lineage: Bacteria; Bacillati; Actinomycetota; Actinomycetes; Kitasatosporales; Streptomycetaceae
Description: tRNA-Pro
Source: RNAcentral
GGGGCGACCAGUUCGUUCACGAGCUGCGACUCCUGGGGCGAGUUGGGCAGUCCGAGCGCGGUGUCGGUGCCGUCGCCGCCGUCGCCCCG